This 273-nucleotide ribosomal RNA is filed under the name uncultured bacterium. RNAcentral describes it as "partial 16S ribosomal RNA". It matches the Rfam family "Bacterial small subunit ribosomal RNA", at positions 15 to 286 of the family's 1533-position model. The record is from RNAcentral.
GAUCCUGGCUCAGGAUGAACGCUGGCGGCGUGCCUAACACAUGCAAGUCGAACGAUGAAACCGCCCUCGGGCGGACAUGAAGUGGCGAACGGGUGAGUAACACGUGACCGACCUGCCCCCCGCCCAGGGACAGCCCCCCGAAAGGGGGAUUAAUACCUGGUACUCCGGAAGCGGCGCAUGCCGGCUCCGGGAAAGCUUCUCGCGGCGGGGGAUGGGGUCGCGGCCCAUCAGGUAGACGGCGGGGUAGAGGCCCACCGUGCCGACGACGGGUAG